This 639-nucleotide ribosomal RNA is filed under the name uncultured archaeon. Its description in RNAcentral is "bacterial SSU rRNA". It matches the Rfam family "Archaeal small subunit ribosomal RNA", at positions 317 to 957 of the family's 1478-position model. The record is from RNAcentral.
CAGGCCCUACGGGGUGCAGCAGGCGCGAAAACUUUACAAUGCUGGGAACAGCGAUAAGGGAACCUCGAGUGCCAGGUUACAAAUCUGGCUGUCGUGAUGCCUAAAAAGCAUUAUAUAGCAAGGGCCGGGCAAGACCGGUGCCAGCCGCCGCGGUAACACCGGCGGCUCGAGUGGUAACCGUUAUUAUUGGGUCUAAAGGGUCUGUAGCCGGCCGGAUAAGUCUCUUGGGAAAUCUGGCAGCUUAACUGUCAGGCUUUCAGGGGAUACUGUCUGGCUCGAGGCCGGGAGAGGUGAGAGGUACUUCAGGGGUAGGGGUGAAAUCUUGUAAUCCUUGAAGGACCACCAGUGGCGAAGGCGUCUCACCAGAACGGACCUGACGGCAAGGGACGAAAGCUAGGGGCACGAACCGGAUUAGAUACCCGGGUAGUCCUAGCCGUAAACGAUACUCGCUAGGUGUCGGCCACGGUGCGACCGUUGUCGGUGCCGUAGGGAAGCCGUGAAGCGAGCCACCUGGGAAGUACGGCCGCAAGGCUGAAACUUAAAGGAAUUGGCGGGGGAGCACAACAACGGGUGGAGCUUGCGGUUUAAUUGGAUUCAACGCCGGAAAUCUUACCGGGACCGACAGCAACAGAAGGCCAA